GAUGAACGCUGACAGAAUGCUUAACACAUGCAAGUCCACUUGAACUUCGGUUUGGGUGGCGGACGGGUGAGUAACGCGUAAAGAACUUGCCUCACAGCUAGGGACAACAUUUGGAAACGAAUGCUAAUACCUGAUAUUAUGAUUAUAUGGCAUCGUAUAAUUAUGAAAGCUAUAUGCGCUGUGAGAGAGCUUUGCGUCCCAUUAGCUAGUUGGAGAGGUAACAGCUCACCAAGGCGAUGAUGGGUAGCCGGCCUGAGAGGGUGAUCGGCCACAAGGGGACUGAGACACGGCCCUUACGCCUACGGGAGGCAGCAGUGGGGAAUAUUGGACAAUGGACCGAGAGUCUGAUCCAGCAAUUCUGUGUGCACGAUGAAGUUUUUCGGAAUGUAAAGUGCUUUCAGUUGGGAAGAAAAAAAUGACGGUACCAACAGAAGAAGUGACGGCUAAAUACGUG
Molecule: ribosomal RNA, 454 nt
Filed under: uncultured bacterium
Lineage: Bacteria
Description: partial 16S ribosomal RNA
Rfam family: Bacterial small subunit ribosomal RNA
Source: RNAcentral